AUACGGAGGAUGCGAGCGUUAUCCGGAUUUACUGGGUGUAAAGGGAGCGCAGACGGCAGUGCAAGUCUGAAGUGGAAGCCCGGGGCUCAACCCCGGGACUGCUUUGGAAACUGUUCUGCUAGAGUACUGGAAGGGCAAGCGGAAUUCCUGGUGUAGCGGUGAAAUGCGUAGAUAUCAGGAGGAACACCGGUGGCGAAGGCGGCUUGCUGGACAGCAACUGACGUUGAGGCUCGAGAGCGUGGGGAGCAAACAGGAUUAGAUACCCUGGUAGUCCACGCUGUAAACGAUGAAUACUAGGUGUUGGGAGACUAAGUCUUUCAGUGCCGUCGCAAACGCAGUAAGUAUUCCACCUGGGGAGUACGUUCGCAAGAAUGAAACUCAAAUGAAUGGACGGGG
Molecule: ribosomal RNA, 396 nt
Filed under: uncultured bacterium
Lineage: Bacteria
Description: partial 16S ribosomal RNA
Rfam family: Bacterial small subunit ribosomal RNA
Source: RNAcentral